UUUGAUUUUAUUUAUUUAUUUUUUAUAUUGUAUUUAGUUUAAAGUUAUUAUUAUUUAAAGAAAAAAAGUUCGGAUCAAACCGAAUUGAUUUAAGAUUGCAGUUCUUUCGGAUUACAACAGUUUUUAUUGGAAUCAAAGUCUGAGCUUGAAUUGAAAAUGAAAUUGAAACUCUUUUCGAUCAAGAGUUCUGAUGAAUUUGAAACAAAAUCCCUAUAAAUUCAGCACCAUAGUUUCAUGAAGGGGAGGAGAGUCUCCGCUAAAGCCAAAUCCUGCAACAAUUUUCACCCUCAUUGUCCACCAAUAAUCACCAUAAACACAGACUCGAUAAGAGCACGACCAAAACUCAGCAAUUGUUCAUCAGCCAAAAAAAACCCAUCAGAAUUCAGCAAUAAACCAAAACAGCUCUGAAAAUCCAGGCAAUCAACCGCCGUGUGAACAGUACCAUAAUCAGAAGCAAUUUCCGGAAUUCAGACCAGAAUCAAGGAAAGCAAACAUUUUUCUGCAAACCAUAGCCACAAGCAGACAAAGGGAAAGCUAAUCAUCAGUUAGUCCAAGCAAAGAAAUCCAAAUUUAAAACAAAAGAAACCCAUUUUCAGGCAAAAACGAACCCAUCACAAAUUCUUCUAGAUAACCCAUAAAUAGUCUCCUGCAAUUGAAAGCCGAACCCAUAGAAAAUCAAACACAAACCUAACCAAGUAACCCACACCCAAAGCCAAACCUAGAAUCAGAAAACAAGCAGAUAAGUAGAAAACUUGCAACAAAGUCACAGCAAGCAAGCACAAUUACAAAGUAUAACACAGUGGUGUUUCGAUGGAGUUGUUGGUCUCAAGUUUUAGGCUUUGAAUAUGUUUGGGUUUUCUUUUUGAAGUUAGACGAUAAAGAGGAUUAGGAAGUGGAGAGAAAUCGGUUAAGGGUUUUCUGGCGACGUCACGAUUCACAGGUGUUCUGGUUUUUUUAUGAGAAAGUAGGUAGUGGCUGGGUUUGAUUGUGGUUUCAGGUAGCUGAGAGAAAAAGAAAGAGGAGGAGGAAGCCCGGUGGUGGCAAACGUCAGUCUUUGGGUUAGUUUGAUAGAAAAAUGGAAGAGGAAGAAUCUGUUUUGUAUGAUGGCAGAAAACAAAGGAAGCAAGAGAGGUGGAUUUUGAUUUUGGAAUUAAAUCCGUGUCCUUGGUUUCCGGCGACGAUCUGCGGCAGCGCACGGUGGUCAGAGAUGGCCGGGAUCUGGGAAAGCUUGAACCCAGCGGGUGUUAUAAAGGUUUUUGGUUUCUGGAAGACUUUGUAGCGAGAAGACACAGUAGAAAAGUUUGUACAGAGAGAAAGCAACUGUGAAAAAUGAAAGAGAGGCCGUGUGUGCUUGAAACGGCAUCGUUUUUGGGCAAUAGGAGGAACCGGUUCAUUCGACUCGCUCCAAGCUCCACUCCUUGUGACCUGAUCGGAGUCCAACCUAACUGAAAUAAUUUAUUCUGGCCCGCAUGAAGAAAUUUCAAGCCCAGUUCUUAUUCAAGCUUAGAUCAGAAUUUUGCUUGGACCAUUAAAAACUCAAUUUUUUUGGACUUCAAUCUGGACUUAGUCUAAUUGGCAAAAUUUUUAUUUUCUGCUUUCAUUUAUCUUGUG
Molecule: long non-coding RNA, 1611 nt
Filed under: Durio zibethinus
Lineage: Eukaryota; Viridiplantae; Streptophyta; Magnoliopsida; Malvales; Malvaceae
Description: long non-coding RNA (DZIB_LNC002096)
Source: RNAcentral